GAGGAUUGCAUAUAUAUACUUCCUGAUGCAAAUGUAUUUCAAUGUCACAUCUAUUUUUUGAAAUUUUUGCUUAAAUUUGGUAAAACUUUCCACUUCUUAGUACUAGAAAAUGUUAUAGAAGCUAUCCGAAAACAAAGUAGAAAUGCUUGUUUCCAGAAAAAGAAGUGGGCAAAACUAGCAUUGACUUUCAUAUCCCGACAUAUUAGAAGCGGUGUUGUGUCUAUUGUCCAAAAUCCAAUUGAACAAAAUAACACUGGACAUUUUUUUGUUGUUGAAUGUUGCUUAAAGCUGGU
Molecule: long non-coding RNA, 293 nt
Organism: Papilio machaon (common yellow swallowtail)
Lineage: Eukaryota; Metazoa; Arthropoda; Insecta; Lepidoptera; Papilionidae
Exons: 3
Source: RefSeq, a predicted model, not a curated record